AGUGAACGCUGGCGGCAGGCCUAACACAUGCAAGUCGAACGGCAGCACAAGAGAGCUUGCUCUCUGGGUGGCGAGUGGCGGACGGGUGAGGAAUGCAUCGGAAUCUGCCCAUUUGUGGGGGAUAACCUCGGGAAACCGGGACUAAUACCGCAUACGACCUACGGGUGAAAGCAGGGGAUCUUCGGACCUUGCGCAGAUGGAUGAGCCGAUGCCGGAUUAGCUAGUUGGAGGGGUAAAGGCCCACCAAGGCGACGAUCCGUAGCUGGUCUGAGAGGAUGAUCAGCCACACUGGGACUGAGACACGGCCCAGACUCCUACGGGAGGCAGCAGUGGGGAAUAUUGGACAAUGGGCGCAAGCCUGAUACAGCCAUGCCGCGUGUGUGAAGAAGGCCUUCGGGUUGUAAAGCACUUUUGUUGGGAAAGAAAAGCAGCCGGUUAAUACCCGGUUGUCAUGACGGUACCCAAAGAAUAAGCACCGGCUAACUUCGUG
This 490-nucleotide ribosomal RNA is filed under the name uncultured bacterium. Its description in RNAcentral is "partial 16S ribosomal RNA". It matches the Rfam family "Bacterial small subunit ribosomal RNA", at positions 29 to 507 of the family's 1533-position model. The record is from RNAcentral.